AUAGAUGAUGAACAACGGGUCUACUGAGAUCUGCCCGACGGGGCUGAUUGGUGAGGAGCCGUUGGAGCACUGAUA
This 75-nucleotide small nucleolar RNA is filed under the name Methanomethylovorans hollandica DSM 15978. Its description in RNAcentral is "Small nucleolar RNA sR3". It matches the Rfam family "Small nucleolar RNA sR3". The record is from Rfam by way of RNAcentral. Lineage: Archaea; Methanobacteriati; Methanobacteriota; Methanomicrobia; Methanosarcinales; Methanosarcinaceae.